CCUUUUCGGACUUUUUUCCAAAAAUUAACAUGGGAGUCAAUGGAGAGGUGAGACCGGAAAAGAUUUCUCGGUAAAUUGACUCAGCCUAAACUACUGGACCGAGAGAUGUCAGAGUGGCAUGUGUGCGUAGGAAACAAACUCUACUUUCACCAGAUGUAAAAAUCAUGUCUGUCGGACUCCGUUUGUGGCUAGGAGAAGUGUUUCAGCACAAAAUGAAGUGGCCGAAAGAUGCCCGUUGAUGCCCUCUCGCUCUUUUGGCCGUUAGACCUUGAGUCCCAUUCGUCGGUUUUGGCCGCGUUUUUCUGUGAGUUUGGAGAGAAUGAUUGGACGGAAUUCUUAGAAAAGUCAUAGCAACACCAUUCGACGUAUUUUCGCAUGUAUUUUUAGAGGUCUGCUGGGGGACGAGAGGGAAAUCAUCGAGUCAAAGUCUCACACGGAGUACCAGGGGCUCCACUCGGAGUACCAGGGGCUCCACACGGAGGACCAGGGGCUCCACUCGGAGUACCAGGGGCUCCACACGGAGG
This 524-nucleotide unclassified non-coding RNA is filed under the name Hevea brasiliensis (rubber tree). The record is from RNAcentral. Lineage: Eukaryota; Viridiplantae; Streptophyta; Magnoliopsida; Malpighiales; Euphorbiaceae.